Molecule: ribosomal RNA, 397 nt
Filed under: Thermoflexia bacterium
Lineage: Bacteria; Bacillati; Chloroflexota; Thermoflexia
Description: bacterial SSU rRNA
Rfam family: Bacterial small subunit ribosomal RNA
Source: RNAcentral
ACGGAGAGUUUGAUCGUGGCUCAGGGUGAACGCUGGCGGCGUGCCUAACACAUGCAAGUCGAGCGAUGAGGCCCCCUUCGGGGGGUACAUCAGCGGCGAACGGGUGAGUAACACGUGGGUGACCUGCCCCGAGGACGGGGAUAACCCCUGGAAACGGGGGCUAAUACCCGAUGUGCUCGGCGGUUCGUUCCGUCGAGUAAAGCUCCGGCGCCUCGGGAGGGGCCCGCGGCCCAUCAGCUAGUUGGUGGGGUAAUGGCCCACCAAGGCUAAGACGGGUAGGGGGCGUGAGAGCGCGGCCCCCCACACUGGCACUGAGACACGGGCCAGACUCCUACGGGAGGCAGCAGUGAGGAAUAUUGCGCAAUGGGCGAAAGCCUGACGCAGCGACGCCGCGUGG